GAUGAACGCUGGCGGCGUGCCUAAUACAUGCAAGUCGAGCGAACGGACGAGAAGCUUGCUUCUCUGAUGUUAGCGGCGGAAGGGUGAGUAACACGUGGAUAACCUACCUAUAAGACUGGGAUAACUUCGGGAAACCGGAGCUAAUACCGGAUAAUAUUUUGAACCGCAUGGUUCAAAAGUGAAAGACGGUCUUGCUGUCACUUAUAGAUGGAUCCGCGCUGCAUUAGCUAGUUGGUAAGGUAACGGCUUACCAAGGCAACGAUGCAUAGCCGACCUGAGCGGGUGAUCGGCCACACUGGGACGGAGACACGGUCCAGACUCCGACGGGAGGCAGCAGUAGGGAAUCUUCCGCAAUGGGCGGAAGCCUGACGGAGCAACGCCGCGUGAGUGAUGAAGGGCUUCGGAUCGUAAAACUCUGUUAUUAGGGAAGAACAUAUGUGUAAGUAACUGUGCACAUCUUGACGGUACCUAAUCAGAAAGCCACGGCUAACUACGUG
This 497-nucleotide ribosomal RNA is filed under the name uncultured bacterium. Its description in RNAcentral is "partial 16S ribosomal RNA". It matches the Rfam family "Bacterial small subunit ribosomal RNA", at positions 28 to 507 of the family's 1533-position model. The record is from RNAcentral.